RNAcentral lists this ribosomal RNA (594 nucleotides) under Triticum aestivum (bread wheat). Its description in RNAcentral is "partial small subunit ribosomal RNA". Lineage: Eukaryota; Viridiplantae; Streptophyta; Magnoliopsida; Poales; Poaceae. The record is from RNAcentral.
AUGGCCGCCCACAGCCAGGGGCUUGCUCGUCGCCUUGUCCGCGGCAACUGGACGCGCGCCCUCUCCAUGGCAACCGCAGCCAGAGCUUCGCUAGUCGCCAUGACUAACCUGCAAUCAGCCGCGGCGGCGAUGAGUUUGUGCUGGAGCCCAGGGUUGCUGGAACCAGGUUAUUUUUUUUGCUGGAUCCACCCACUUUUUUUGCUACAACCCCUUUCUUUUUUGCUACCAUCCCCAUUCGAUUUGAUGAACUCUUUUCGUUUUUGCUGGAACCGGUGUCCCCAUUUGCGGGAAGCAUUUGGUGGACGUGCUGCAAGGUUGACAGCUCGCCGGAGGAAGCUGCAUCCAGUGGCGAGGAGGGCUGCAUCCAACGUCGUUCAAACGCCGGGAGUUGCAACCAUGUACGCCGGAGCUACAACCAGUGACCGGGGGUGUUGCAAGAGGGAGUGGCCGUUUUUGCUGAUGCAUCUUUUUUUGGUGAACCAAAUUUUUGUUUUUGCUGGAACCGAUGAAUUUCUUUGCUGGAAUAGAUAUAAUUUUUUGCUUCAUCGGCUGCAGAGCUCUCAAAUGUUUCAUGUCAUUUUUGCUGGGACCUAA